This 408-nucleotide ribosomal RNA is filed under the name uncultured beta proteobacterium. RNAcentral describes it as "bacterial SSU rRNA". It matches the Rfam family "Bacterial small subunit ribosomal RNA", at positions 9 to 419 of the family's 1533-position model. Lineage: Bacteria; Pseudomonadati; Pseudomonadota; Betaproteobacteria. The record is from RNAcentral.
GAGUUUGAUCCUGGCUCAGAUUGAACGCUGGCGGCAUGCUUUACACAUGCAAGUCGAACGGCAGCGCGGGCUUCGGCCUGGCGGCGAGUGGCGAACGGGUGAGUAAUAUAUCGGAACGUACCCAGGAGUGGGGGAUAACGUAGCGAAAGUUACGCUAAUACCGCAUACGUCCUAAGGGAGAAAGCAGGGGAUCGCAAGACCUUGUGCUCAUGGAGCGGCCGAUAUCUGAUUAGCUAGUUGGUGGGGUAAAGGCCCACCAAGGCAACGAUCAGUAGCUGGUCUGAGAGGACGACCAGCCACACUGGAACUGAGACACGGUCCAGACUCCUACGGGAGGCAGCAGUGGAGAAUUUUGGACAAUGGGGGCAACCCUGAUCCAGCAAUGCCGCGUGAGUGAAGAAGGCCUUC